RNAcentral lists this ribosomal RNA (497 nucleotides) under uncultured bacterium. RNAcentral describes it as "partial 16S ribosomal RNA". It matches the Rfam family "Bacterial small subunit ribosomal RNA", at positions 28 to 507 of the family's 1533-position model. The record is from RNAcentral.
GAUGAACGCUGGCGGCGUGCCUAAUACAUGCAAGUCGAGCGAACAGACGAGGAGCUUGCUCCUCUGACGUUAGCGGCGGACGGGUGAGUAACACGUGGAUAACCUACCUAUAAGACUGGGAUAACUUCGGGAAACCGGAGCUAAUACCGGAUAAUAUAUUGAACCGCAGGGUUCAAUAGUGAAAGACGGUUUUGCUGUCACGUAUAGAUGGAUCCGCGCCGCAUUAGCUAGUUGGUAAGGUAACGGCUUACCAAGGCGACGAUGCGUAGCCGACCUGAGAGGGUGAUCGGCCACACUGGAACUGAGCCACGGUCCAGACUCCUACGGGAGGCAGCAGUAGGGAAUCUUCCGCAAUGGGCGAAAGCCUGACGGAGCAACGCCGCGUGAGUGAUGAAGGUCUUCGGAUCGUAAAACUCUGUUAUUAGGGAAGAACAAAUGUGUAAGUAACUAUGCACGUCUUGACGGUACCUAAUCAGAAAGCCACGGCUAACUACGUG